This 574-nucleotide ribosomal RNA is filed under the name Adapanetus sericoclava. RNAcentral describes it as "eukaryotic LSU rRNA". It matches the Rfam family "Eukaryotic large subunit ribosomal RNA", at positions 284 to 645 of the family's 3401-position model. Lineage: Eukaryota; Metazoa; Arthropoda; Insecta; Coleoptera; Curculionidae. The record is from RNAcentral.
AGCCCUAAGUGGGUGGUAAACUCCAUCUAAGGCUAAAUAUAACCACGAGACCGAUAGCGAACAAGUACCGUGAGGGAAAGUUGAAAAGCACUUUGAAGAGAGAGUUCAAGAGUACGUGAAACCGUUUAGGGGUAAACCUGAGAAACCCGAAAGGUCGAAGGGAGAAAUUCAUUCGCGUUUCGGCGCCGGCGGAUAUCGAGAUCGUUUGACGGAAAGAGUGUUCGCGCACGCUUUUCGCUACUUUCUUUAUUCGAUCCGGCGACGAACGCGUGCACUUUUCUCCUGGUAGGACGUCGCGAUCCGUUGGGCGUCGGUCUAAGGUCGAACGGUGGAGCCCGUAAAUACGGUUUGCGCCGUCAUUUGCGGACCCGUUCGCUUCCCGGCCGACUCGCUCGACGGUAUACGAAAGGUAUAAGGCCGCUCCUCGAGAGCGUUCGACUCGCGUCAAGCGCGCCAGUAGUUUGUUGGCGAUCGGACUUCGUGCCGGUUCUGACCUCUGGUGACUGUUGGGCGCGAAGUUCUCGAACAGACCUUUUUUACCGAUCUGCGACGCUAUAGCUUUGGGUACUUUCAG